AUUCAACAAUUCAGAAGCAUUUUCAUAUAAAUAGAUGAGUAUUGUUAAUAAUAUAAUGAAGAAUAUUUAUGUAAUCUUUUAUCUUUUUGUUAAUGGAAUAUAAAUCUAAUUUUUAACAGAAUUAUCCUCCUACUGAGAAAAUGGAUAGCCGUCGGCUAGACAAAUUGAGGAAAACAGUUGUCCGAUAGUCACAUCUGUUCCCGGAUUAUGAGAACGAUAAAUUUCAGCCUGUGAAGCUAACAGCCGGAUUAGCGAGCGUUGUCGCGGUGUCAACGAGAGUUAAGUACAAAAAGUACGAUUUUUUUGGAACGUCGAUGUCGCAAGAAGACCGGAAAUGAAAGAAAACAGCGAGCACUGUUCGCAAACAGAGAUGCUCGUCAAGAGUCCCUGGACUUAUUGUCUUCGCUGUUCAGCCACGGCUACCUAACGUGCAUGUGCGGAUUCUACGAUUUUUUUGAAUCGAACAAGAGGUCAGAGGUGACCACCAUGGACUCCGGAUUGAAUUUCUGAAUCAACGUCUUCGAGGAGGUAUUAGACCCACGUGAAUACCGUGGUCCCCGAUGUCGGGGUCGUGAAUUGGAAAAAAAGGGCCUCACGGAUCGUUGUGGUCUGGUUGGGCCUCUGGAAUCCUCAGUGGGGGUCCCACGGAUGGGUUCUUUCGUUUUUCUCUCGAUCCCGGAGGAAUCAUUGUCGUUUCCUCUGCGCAACGCUUUCUUUCAACGUUUUCUCAUACCCCCAAUCUUUUUCAUAUCGGGCAAGUAUUUCCUAACAUAAUUGAUUAACAAUUGCUAUAACCUACAUGUAUCUAAUACAGGGUGAACAAUAUAUAGCUGACUAAUUUCAAAGUCCCAAUAUUCCAGAACGAUGUAUUUUUUGUGCCGCACUAGAAAUUAUGUUAUGGGUGCAUGGCAAACAAACAAGAAGCCAUUCAUCAAGGAUGUACAUAGUUCUAAUGACAUCACACUUGAUAUAUUGGAAACAAAUAUGAAGUGGCACAGCAAUUUUACGAAACGAAUUUAUAUUUAAUAAAAGCAAUGAAUAAAUCAGAAUUGAACUUCAAAGUAACGAAGAAAAAUAGGGGCAACAUGGUAAUGAACAAAAAAGAGAAAAGCCAGGAAAUUUGAAACUAGUGAUCCAUUAUGCAGCAAAGAUAUCAAAGCUAAGCUGGAAAAAGAAGAAAAGUAGAAGUAACACAGCAGCCAAGUAAAAAAGGAGGAAAGCCGAGAAAAAAAUGUUGAAAGUUGAAACUAAUGUCGGAGUCGAGGCUACUAAUUGCCAUGGAAAUUUCGCAGGGUCUGGUGAAUUCGUUCAGCAGGUCCCGUGGCACAGUAGAGGUCGGUAGUUGAAUCUAAAUAAUCCUGGUUCUCGGAAGGAGAGGGCCAUCAGGACACGCGACACUUCCCAAGUCGAAGGAAGCGUGCCCUUUCUUAUUUUUUCAUCCUGCUUGGAACCCUGUGGUUGCUACGGGCCCCUGGAAUCAUUCUGGUGAAAGAUUCAUCGUUGCUGUUUCAGCAGACUCUGUAUAUGUUAUCAACUGAUGCAAUUUGUAGAUCUUUGGUAAAAAAAAGGAGAAAACCAGUCUCUAGGGAUGAAUUUUACAAUAGAAAUGACAUAGGAAACAAAAUCAGUAACAUAAGUAAAUUAUCAAGUCAGUUACUGAUAAUAUCAAUGUAUAUAGUUUUUAAAAAUAUUAUAUAAAACAUAAAACAAUGUGGAUAGCCUUAAUAAAUAUUAAACAUUAUUAAAUGCUAAAUAUUAAAUGAAAUAUCAGUGUCAAUAAUAUUGAGAUACAUUAAUAACAAUAAUUAUAUUUUUAAUUUGAUUU
Molecule: long non-coding RNA, 1825 nt
Organism: Bombus pascuorum
Lineage: Eukaryota; Metazoa; Arthropoda; Insecta; Hymenoptera; Apidae
Exons: 5
Source: RefSeq, a predicted model, not a curated record